CACCUUAUCCAUCCACGUCCAAUGAAGGUCAGUGAUUUUUUGAUAUCCACUCUCUAAAGCAUGCAUAUCGUGCAUCCACUAAAAAGAAAAGACAAGUCAGAUAAAAAAAAAGGAGGAAUGUGGAAUAUCAGAAAAUUACCCCAAGCAUCGUUGGGUAAAAGGAAGAAAAUAUUUCGGACCGAUUUUUUCUGUUCUCCCU
RNAcentral lists this long non-coding RNA (199 nucleotides) under Elaeis guineensis (African oil palm). RNAcentral describes it as "long non-coding RNA (EGUI_LNC002796)". Lineage: Eukaryota; Viridiplantae; Streptophyta; Magnoliopsida; Arecales; Arecaceae. The record is from RNAcentral.